UACGUAGGGUGCGAGCGUUAAUCGGAAUUACUGGGCGUAAAGCGUGCGCAGGCGGUUCGUUAAGUUCGUUGUGAAAGCCCCGGGCUCAACCUGGGAACUGCAAUGGAAACUGGCGGGCUUGAAUGCGGCAGAGGGGGUGGAAUUCCGCGUGUAGCAGUGAAAUGCGUAGAGAUGCGGAGGAACACCGAUGGCGAAGGCAGCCCCCUGGGCCGACAUUGACGCUCAGGCACGAAAGCGUGGGGAGCAAACAGG
This 252-nucleotide ribosomal RNA is filed under the name uncultured bacterium. Its description in RNAcentral is "partial 16S ribosomal RNA". It matches the Rfam family "Bacterial small subunit ribosomal RNA", at positions 524 to 776 of the family's 1533-position model. The record is from RNAcentral.